Molecule: long non-coding RNA, 1314 nt
Organism: Solanum pennellii
Lineage: Eukaryota; Viridiplantae; Streptophyta; Magnoliopsida; Solanales; Solanaceae
Exons: 2
Source: RefSeq, a predicted model, not a curated record
GCAAGCCCAAUUUUCCCCUUUUCCUAAGCAAUUCCCAGCUCACCAAACUACAACCACACAAUCAGUGAUCCAAACAUACCCAAUACCGUGCAACACAACACACAACGCACAACAAUACCAAAUCCGACCCCACUUGGCUUCUUCUUCUUCCUCUUCCAGACACGACUCAGAAAACCCUGAUAAAAAUAAUGCUUCUCCUCGCCUGCAGCGCCCAACCACUUGUCCAUCUUCUUUUUCCCUUUUUCAGAAGAAAUCUCCACCCCUUCUACUGUUGUCUUGAAAAGGAACGAUGAAUUUGAAUUUCAAAUUCAAUAAUUUCACCCGUUUCCUCCUAUUCGGCCCUAGUCUCUGUAUAAACCACUCCUACCCAUCGUUCGAAAGGGGGAGAGCAUAGGGAGAGGAACUUUCCCCUUCCGAGUCCAUGUGGGACCUCACUCUUGCAUCCUCAAGAUGAGCCAUAGAGGCUCAACAUCUCUCCAUCGAUGUCGGCCUCAAGUGAAUUUCGAAUUAAGAGCAGGUUUACAUGGGUUAGGGACAGGUUGCAAGUCUCAAAAAGCCCAAGAAGGGGGUUGCGUACCUGCUGUAUAUAGCAGUAUACACUGGUAUACAUGGAAAAAAUACAUGUUCAAAACGAAAAUACAGAUUGGAGGCGUCGAAGUGGAUUGUAUACAGUCGGUAUACAAUAUGAUAUAGAAGAAAAUGAGUCAGAAUAUGACUUGUAUGCAGAGUAUACACUUAACGUAUACACAGUUCUUUUAGAAGCGAGAAUGGGCAGAAACCCAAUAAGUUGCAGCAGGCCCAAAAAGGGCCCAAAUCUCUCUCUGCCUUACUCUUAAAUUAUUUGAUUACAAUUAUUUAUUGCUUGUUUCUUUAUCAACUCCUACUUUGGAAUUAUUAGAUAACUCAAUUAAAUUUCCAAAGAUGAACUAUAUUCUUUAUGUUGACAUAUGUGCGGGGUGGCCUGAUCUUUUUCUGUGUGACCGCGUAGCCUCCUCACUCGAGUUGUCCACUCGGGAACCUUGUGUCUAGUAAACCCACUCUUAGUCAACUCGCAGAGAGCUAAACCAGAUCUCUUUAAGCGCAUUGAACUAAGAUGACUCAACACCCAAGGUGUGUUGAGCCCAUUAGAGAGACCACCUUGAGUCCAAAAGGACCCACGACCCAAAUGGACGACCAUACUUAUGUGUUUAAAUUUGAAGGAUGUAUACGUCGUUUGACAAGCCAUUAUCUCUUCGGGUAGAGAUUCCCAUUCAUUUUAUUUAUAAAGCUUGUAUAAAUUUGGGUUUGGGACAAUUGAAUGUUUCACAAAGGAUA